RNAcentral lists this small RNA (116 nucleotides) under Marmota monax (woodchuck). The record is from RNAcentral. Lineage: Eukaryota; Metazoa; Chordata; Mammalia; Rodentia; Sciuridae.
GCUGGGCCUGGUGGCGCACACCUGUAAUCCCAGCAGCUGAGGAGGCUGAGGCAGGAGGAUUUUGAGCUAAUCUCACAAUUUGAGUCCCUGAGCAAGUUAGCUAGAGCUUGUCUCAA